GAUGAACGCUAGCUACAGGCUUAACACAUGCAAGUCGAGGGGAAACGAUAUUGGAAGCUUGCUUCCGAUAGGCGUCGACCGGCGCACGGGUGAGUAACGCGUAUCCAACCUGCCCAUCACUUGGGAAUAACCUUGCGAAAGUAAGACUAAUGCCCAAUGACAUUUAUGGAGGGCAUCCGCAAUGACUUAAAGAUUUAUCGGUGAUGGAUGGGGAUGCGUCUGAUUAGCUUGUUGGCGGGGUAACGGCCCACCAAGGCGACGAGCAGUAGGGGUUCUGAGAGGAAGGUCCCCCACAUUGGAACUGAGACACGGUCCAAACUCCUACGGGAGGCAGCAGUGAGGAAUAUUGGUCAAUGGGCGAGAGCCUGAACCAGCCAAGUAGCGUGCAGGAUGACGGCCCUAUGGGUUGUAAACUGCUUUUAUAAGGGAAUAAAGUGAGUCACGUGUGACUUUUUGCAUGUACCUUAUGAAUAAGGACCGGCUAAUUCCGUGCCAGCCGCCGCGGUAA
Molecule: ribosomal RNA, 508 nt
Filed under: uncultured bacterium
Lineage: Bacteria
Description: partial 16S ribosomal RNA
Rfam family: Bacterial small subunit ribosomal RNA
Source: RNAcentral